This 440-nucleotide ribosomal RNA is filed under the name Hala sp. CG9. RNAcentral describes it as "partial 16S ribosomal RNA". Lineage: Eukaryota; Metazoa; Arthropoda; Arachnida; Araneae; Pisauridae. The record is from RNAcentral.
UUCUAUUAGAUUAUUAUCAAUAGUAAAAUCUGCUCAAUGAAAAAUUAAAUAGCCGCAUUAGUGCUAAGGUAGCAUAAUCAUUUGUCUUUUAAUUAAAGACCAGAACAAAAGAUUUAACUUCUAGAAUAUUAUUUUAAUUUUAUAAAUUUAAAUUAUCUUAAAUGUAAAAAGACAUUUAUUUUUAAAAAAGACGACAAGACCCUAUCGAACUUAACUAAAGUUAAACUGGGGCAGUUAAUUAAUUAAAACUUUAAUUUCAAUAAUAAAACAAACAGACCUAAUUUAAUUAAAUAUAUAAACAAGUUACCGUAGGGAUAACAGCGUAAUUUUAUUUUUAAGAUCUUAUAAAAAAUAAAGAUUGCGACCUCGAUGUUGAUUAACAUUAUAUUUGACGCAUUAGUGAAUAAUAAGAAAGUUUGGUCGAGUUUUAAAAAGUUACA